AAAACCCUUUUGAAACGCCCUUCGGCGNACCCAGAAACCCUUUGUGAACUUAUACCUUACUGUUGCCUCGGCGCAGGCCGGCCCCUCCCACGGGGCCCCUCCGGAAGGAGGAGCAGCCCGCCGGCGGCCAACUAAACUCUUGUUUCUUAGUGAAUCUCUGAGUAAAAAACAUAAAUGAAUCAAAACUUUCAACAACGGAUCUCUUGGUUCUGGCAUCGAUGAAGAACGCAGCGAAAUGCGAUAAGUAAUGUGAAUUGCAGAAUUCAGUGAAUCAUCGAAUCUUUGAACGCACAUUGCGCCCUCUGGUAUUCCGGAGGGCAUGCCUGUUCGAGCGUCAUUUCAACCCUCAAGCACUGCUUGGUGUUGGGGCACCGCCUGUGAAAGGGCGGGCCCUGAAAACUAGUGGCGAGCUCGCCAGGACCCCGAGCGUAGUAGUUUAUAUCUCGUCUGGAAGGCCCUGGCGGUGCACUGCCGUUAAACCCCCAACUUCUGAAAUUUUGACCUCGGAUCAGGUAGGAAUACCCGCUGAACUUAAGCAUAUCAAUAAGGCGGAGGGAA
This 558-nucleotide ribosomal RNA is filed under the name ascomycete sp. CM 6. RNAcentral's name for it is "eukaryotic LSU rRNA". The stretch from base 184 to 337 matches the Rfam family "5.8S ribosomal RNA". Lineage: Eukaryota; Fungi; Ascomycota. The record is from RNAcentral.